GGUUUUGGUGCUGAGCGUGAUAUUGGAGAUAGGGGUGCAAUUUCAGGAACUGUCUCACCAGAGGUUGAUAUCCCCUCACUCAAGAGCUAUGACGAGGAACAGCGCCAUGAGAAUUUUCGUAGAAACAUUCAUCAAUGCUGCAUCUGUUUCAAUGAACUUCCUGGUAUGGAGUUUGUGAGGUUGCCGUGUCAGCACUUUUUUUGCUGGAAUUGCAUGAAAACUUACUCCGAUAUGCAUGUCAAGGAAGGUACAAUUACCAAGCUUUUGUGCCCCGAGGCAAAAUGUGGAGGUAUGAUUCCUCCAGGUUUGCUAAAGCGGUUACUUGGUGAAGUGGAGUUUGAGCGCUGGGAAUCAAUGAUGUUACAGAAAACAUUAGAAUCAAU
Molecule: unclassified non-coding RNA, 383 nt
Filed under: Hevea brasiliensis (rubber tree)
Lineage: Eukaryota; Viridiplantae; Streptophyta; Magnoliopsida; Malpighiales; Euphorbiaceae
Source: RNAcentral